RNAcentral lists this ribosomal RNA (496 nucleotides) under uncultured Oscillospiraceae bacterium. RNAcentral's name for it is "bacterial SSU rRNA". It matches the Rfam family "Bacterial small subunit ribosomal RNA", at positions 11 to 507 of the family's 1533-position model. The record is from RNAcentral. Lineage: Bacteria; Bacillati; Bacillota; Clostridia; Eubacteriales; Oscillospiraceae.
UUUAGAUCCUGCGUCAGGGAUGAACGCUGGCGGCGUGCUUAACACAUGCAAGUCGAACGAGAACCAAUGGAUUGAGGAUUCGCAAAUGAAAUUGGGGAAAGUGCGGACGGGUGAGUAACGCGUGAGCAAUCUGCCUUGGAGUGGGGAAUAACGGUUGGAAACAGCCGCUAAUACGCAUGAUGCAAUUGGGAGGCAUCUCUCUGAUUGCCAAAGAUUUUAUCGCUCUGAGAUGAGCUCGCGUCUGAUUAGCUAGUUGGCGGGGUAACGGCCCACCAAGGCGACGAUCAGUAGCCGGACUGAGAGGUUGGCCGGCCACAUUGGGACUGAGACACGGCCCAGACUCCUACGGGAGGCAGCAGUGGGGAAUAUUGGGCAAUGGGCGCAAGCCUGACCCAGCAACGCCGCGUGAAGGAAGAAGGCUUUCGGGUUGUAAACUUCUUUUCUGAGGGACGAACAAAUGACGGUACCUCAGGAAUAAGCCACGGCUAACUACGUG